This 373-nucleotide ribosomal RNA is filed under the name uncultured bacterium. RNAcentral describes it as "bacterial SSU rRNA". It matches the Rfam family "Bacterial small subunit ribosomal RNA", at positions 524 to 896 of the family's 1533-position model. The record is from RNAcentral.
UACGUAGGUGGCAAGCGUUGUCCGGAAUUACUGGGUGUAAAGGGAGGGCAGGCGGGGAGACAAGUCCGCUGUGAAAACUAUGGGCUUAACCCAUAGACGGCAGUGGAAACUGUAUCUCUUGAGUGGAGUAGAGGCAGGCGGAAUUCCGAGUGUAGCGGUGAAAUGCGUAGAUAUUCGGAGGAACACCAGUGGCGAAGGCGGCCUGCUGGGCUCUAACUGACGCUGAGGCUCGAAAGUGUGGGGAGCAAACAGGAUUAGAUACCCUGGUAGUCCACACUGUAAACGAUGAUUGCUAGGUGUGGGGGGUCUAACCCCUUCCGUGCCGGAGCUAACGCAAUAAGCAAUCCACCUGGGGAGUACGGCCGCAAGGUUG